This 583-nucleotide ribosomal RNA is filed under the name uncultured bacterium. RNAcentral's name for it is "bacterial SSU rRNA". It matches the Rfam family "Bacterial small subunit ribosomal RNA", at positions 268 to 842 of the family's 1533-position model. The record is from RNAcentral.
CCAAGGCAAUGAUGCAUAGCCGAGUUGAGAGACUGAUCGGCCACAUUGGGACUGAGACACGGCCCAAACUCCUACGGGAGGCAGCAGUAGGGAAUCUUCCACAAUGGACGCAAGUCUGAUGGAGCAACGCCGCGUGAGUGAAGAAGGGUUUCGGCUCGUAAAGCUCUGUUGGUAGUGAAGAAAGAUAGAGGUAGUAACUGGCCUUUAUUUGACGGUAAUUACCUAGAAAGUCACGGCUAACUACGUGCCAGCAGCCGCGGUAAUACGUAGGUGGCAAGCGUUGUCCGGAUUUAUUGGGCGUAAAGCGAGUGCAGGCGGUUCAAUAAGUCUGAUGUGAAAGCCUUCGGCUCAACCGGAGAAUUGCAUCAGAAACUGUUGAACUUGAGUGCAGAAGAGGAGAGUGGAACUCCAUGUGUAGCGGUGGAAUGCGUAGAUAUAUGGAAGAACACCAGUGGCGAAGGCGGCUCUCUGGUCUGCAACUGACGCUGAGGCUCGAAAGCAUGGGUAGCGAACAGGAUUAGAUACCCUGGUAGUCCAUGCCGUAAACGAUGAGUGCUAAGUGUUGGGAGGUUUCCGCCUCUCA